This 258-nucleotide ribosomal RNA is filed under the name uncultured bacterium. RNAcentral's name for it is "partial 16S ribosomal RNA". It matches the Rfam family "Bacterial small subunit ribosomal RNA", at positions 793 to 1055 of the family's 1533-position model. The record is from RNAcentral.
GUCCACACCCUAAACGAUGAUAACUCGUUGUUGGCGAUACACAGUCAGCGACUAAGCGAAAGCAUUAAGUUAUCCACCUGGGGAGUACGGUCGCAAGACUGAAACUCAAAGGAAUUGACGGGGGCCCGCACAAGCGGAGGAGCAUGUGGUUUAAUUCGAUGAUACGCGAGGAACCUUACCUGGGCUUGAAAGUUAGUGAAUGACGCAGAAACGUGUCAGCUCGAAAGAGCACGAAACUAGGUGCUGCAUGGCUGUCGU